This 1658-nucleotide ribosomal RNA is filed under the name Myopa buccata. RNAcentral's name for it is "eukaryotic LSU rRNA". It matches the Rfam family "Eukaryotic large subunit ribosomal RNA", at positions 1923 to 3329 of the family's 3401-position model. Lineage: Eukaryota; Metazoa; Arthropoda; Insecta; Diptera; Conopidae. The record is from RNAcentral.
UAGAUCCGUAACUUCGGGAUAAGGAUUGGCUCUGAAGAUUGAGAUAAUCGGGCUUGAUUGGGAAGCAAUAAUAUGGUUUAUGUACUCGUUCUGGAUAAAUAGAGUUUUUCGAAUCUUGUUCCCCGGAUAGUAGUUACGUAACCAAUUGUGGAACUUUCUUGCUAAAAUUUAUUAUAGGAAUAUCGAAAGAUAUUAUUCUAUCUUAAAUUAUAACGAUUAUCAAUUAACAAUCAAUUCAGAACUGGCACGGACUUGGAGAAUCCGACUGUCUAAUUAAAACAAAGCAUUGUGAUGGCCCUAGCGGGUGUUGACACAAUGUGAUUUCUGCCCAGUGCUCUGAAUGUCAACGUGAAGAAAUUCAAGUAAGCGCGGGUCAACGGCGGGAGUAACUAUGACUCUCUUAAGGUAGCCAAAUGCCUCGUCAUCUAAUUAGUGACGCGCAUGAAUGGAUUAACGAGAUUCUCGCUGUCCCUAUCUACUAUCUAGCGAAACCACAGCCAAGGGAACGGGCUUGGAAAGAUUAGCGGGGAAAGAAGACCCUGCUGAGCUUGACUCUAGUCUGGCAGUGUAAGGAGACAUAAGAGGUGUAGCAUAAGUGGGAGAUAAUAAUUUUUUUAAAUUAUUAUCGACAAUGAAAUACCACUACUCUUAUUGUUUCCUUACUUACUUGAUUUAAGUGGAACAUGUAUCAAUUCCUAGCCAUUAUACGGAUUUAUUUUAUAUAUUUCUUAUGGUAUUGGGUCUUGAUGCAAGCUUCUUGAUCAAAAUAUCACGAGUUUGCUAUACAAUUGUAAACAAAUUUUGAUAAAAUGAUAACAUUUUAUAUGUUAUUGUUAUAAUUAUUAUUUGGUAUAGCUACAAUACUCAGAUAUGAUCCAAUUCAAGGACAUUGCCAGGUGGGGAGUUUGACUGGGGCGGUACAUCUCUCAAAUAAUAACGGAGGUGUCCCAAGGCCAGCUCAGUGCGGACAGAAACCACACAUAGAGCAAAAGGGCAAAUGCUGACUUGAUCUCGGUGUUCAGUACACACAGAGACAGCAAAAGCUCGGCCUAUCGAUCCUUUUGGUUUAAGGAGUUUUUAACAAGAGGUCAGAAAGUUACCAAAGGGAUAACUGGCUUGUGGCGGCCAAGCGUUCAUAGCGACGUCGCUUUUUGAUCCUUCGAUGUCGGCUCUUCCUAUCAUUGUGAAGCAAAAUUCACCAAGCGUUGGAUUGUUCACCCAUGCAAGGGAACGUGAGCUGGGUUUAGACCGUCGUGAGACAGGUUAGUUUUACCCUACUAAUGACUAAGUUGUUGCGACAGCAUUCCUGCGUAGUACGAGAGGAACCGCAGGUACGGACCAAUGGCACAAUACUUGUUCGAGCGAACAGUGGUAUGACGCUACGUCCGUUGGAUUAUGCCUGAACGCCUCUAAGGUCGUAUCCGUGCUGGACUGCAAUGAUAAAAAUGGGGCAAUUGUGUUGUAUGGCUUCUAAACCAUUUAAAGUUUAUAUAUUUAUUAUAUAAACGACAAUGUUAUGUGAUGCCAAUGUUUCGAUUAACAUAGCAAAUCUGGGAGGAUUAAAUAUCACUUGGAUGCCGCGCUAGUUAAUUGAUGAAACAUUAUUUAAUACAAUGACAAUGCCUAGAAUCAAUUGUAAACGACUUUUGUAACGGGCA